RNAcentral lists this ribosomal RNA (237 nucleotides) under uncultured Candidatus Saccharibacteria bacterium. RNAcentral's name for it is "partial 16S ribosomal RNA". It matches the Rfam family "Bacterial small subunit ribosomal RNA", at positions 583 to 818 of the family's 1533-position model. Lineage: Bacteria; Candidatus Saccharimonadota. The record is from RNAcentral.
AUAAGUGAAUAGUGAAUCUGGUGGCUCAACCAUACAGGCUAUUAUUCAAACUGUACAACUCGAGAGUGGUAGAGGUCACUGGAAUUUCUUGUGUAGGAGUGAAAUCCGUAGAUAUAAGAAGGAACACCGAUGGCGUAGGCAGGUGACUGGACCAUUUCUGACGCUAAGGCACGGAAAGCGUGGGGAGCGAACCGGAUUAGAUACCCGGGUAGUCCACGCCGUAAACGAUGGAUACUG